AGUGAACGCUGGCGGUAGGCUUAACACAUGCGAGUCGAACGGCAGCACAGUAAGAGCCUGCUCUUACGGGUGGCGAGUGGCGGACGGGUGAGGAAUACAUCGGAAUCUACUUUUUCGUGGGGGAUAACGUAGGGAAACUUACGCUAAUACCGCAUACGACCUACGGGUGAAAGCAGGGGAUCUUCGGACCUUGCGCGAUUGAAUGAGCCGAUGUCGGAUUAGCUAGUUGGCGGGGUAAAGGCCCACCAAGGCGACGAUCCGUAGCUGGUCUGAGAGGAUGAUCAGCCACACUGGAACUGAGACACGGUCCAGACUCCUACGGGAGGCAGCAGUGGGGAAUAUUGGACAAUGGGCGCAAGCCUGAUCCAGCCAUACCGCGUGGGUGAAGAAGGCCUUCGGGUUGUAAAGCCCUUUUGUUGGGAAAGAAAAGCAGCAGGUUAAUACCCCGCUGUUCUGACGGUACCCAAAGAAUAAGCACCGGCUAACUUCGUG
Molecule: ribosomal RNA, 492 nt
Filed under: uncultured bacterium
Lineage: Bacteria
Description: partial 16S ribosomal RNA
Rfam family: Bacterial small subunit ribosomal RNA
Source: RNAcentral